AACGUAGGAGACGAGCGUUCUCCGGAAUUACUGGGCGUAAAGCGCGUGUAGGCGGAAGUGUAAGACUUUUGUGAAAGCUCCUGGCUAAACCGGGAGAGGUCGAAAGAUACUGCACAUCUGGAGUAUGGGAGAGGGGUGUCGAAUACCGGGUGUAGUGGUGAAACGCGUAGAUCUCCGGUGGAACACCAGUGGCGAAGGCCGCACCCUGGCCCAAUUCUGACCCUAAGACGCGAAAGCAUGGGGAGCGAACGGG
RNAcentral lists this ribosomal RNA (253 nucleotides) under uncultured bacterium. RNAcentral describes it as "partial 16S ribosomal RNA". It matches the Rfam family "Bacterial small subunit ribosomal RNA", at positions 524 to 776 of the family's 1533-position model. The record is from RNAcentral.